This 403-nucleotide ribosomal RNA is filed under the name Fusobacteriota bacterium. RNAcentral describes it as "Fusobacteria bacterium partial 16S ribosomal RNA". It matches the Rfam family "Bacterial small subunit ribosomal RNA", at positions 355 to 776 of the family's 1533-position model. Lineage: Bacteria; Fusobacteriati; Fusobacteriota. The record is from RNAcentral.
UGGGGAAUAUUGCACAAUGGAGGGAACUCUGAUGCAGCGACGCCGCGUGAACGAAGAAGGCUUUCGAGUCGUAAAGUUCUUUUAUAUGGGAAGAUAAUGACGGUACCAUAAGAAAAAGCCCCGGCUAACUACGUGCCAGCAGCCGCGGUAAUACGUCGGGGGCUAGCGUUGUCCGGAAUCACUGGGCGUAAAGGGUUCGCAGGCGGAAAUGCAAGUCAGAUGUAAAAGGCAGUAGCUUAACUACUGUAAGCAUUUGAAACUGCAUAUCUUGGGAAGAGUAGAGGUAAGUGGAAUUUUUAGUGUAGCGGUGAAAUGCGUAGAUAUUAAAAAGAAUACCGGUGGCGAAGGCGACUUACUGGGCUCAUUCUGACGCUGAGGAACGAAAGAGUGGGUAGCAAACAGG